RNAcentral lists this ribosomal RNA (372 nucleotides) under Trombidiidae gen. sp. RNAcentral's name for it is "SSU rRNA". It matches the Rfam family "Eukaryotic small subunit ribosomal RNA", at positions 593 to 969 of the family's 1831-position model. Lineage: Eukaryota; Metazoa; Arthropoda; Arachnida; Trombidiformes; Trombidiidae. The record is from RNAcentral.
AAUAGCGUAUACUAAAGUUGUUGCGGUUAAAAAGCUCGUAGUUGGAUCUCAGUUCAUGCUAAGUGGUCCACCUAAUGGUGGUUACUACUUAGCUGAACAUUUUACGGAUUUGCCUCUUGAUGCUCUUUACCGAGUGUCAUGAGCGAUCCGUACGUUUACUUUGAAAAAAUUAGAGUGCUUAAAGCAGGCAUCUCGCCCGAAUAAUCUUGCAUGGAAUAAUGGAAUAGGACCUUGGUUCUAUUUUGUUGGUCUUCGGAAUCUGAGGUAAUGAUUAAGAGGGACAGACGGGGGCAUUCGUAUUGCGGCGCUAGAGGUGAAAUUCUUGGACCGUCGCAAGACGAACUACAGCGAAAGCAUUUGCCAAGAAUGUUU